This 511-nucleotide ribosomal RNA is filed under the name Nitrosarchaeum sp. RNAcentral describes it as "partial 23S ribosomal RNA". It matches the Rfam family "Archaeal large subunit ribosomal RNA", at positions 2469 to 2973 of the family's 2987-position model. The record is from RNAcentral. Lineage: Archaea; Thermoproteati; Nitrososphaerota; Nitrososphaeria; Nitrosopumilales; Nitrosopumilaceae.
ACGAAAGUCUGGCUUAGCGAUCCAUCGUGUGCCCACUAUUGGGGCCCGGUGGUGACAGAAAAAUUACCCCAGGGAUAACAGGCUCGUCGCGGGCGAGAGCUCCUAUCGACCCCGCGGUUUGGUACCUCGAUGUCGGCUUUUCCUAUCCUGGUCCUGCAGCAGGGGCCAAGGGUGAGGCUGCUCGCCUAUUAAAAGGGAACAUGAGCUGGGUUUAGACCGUCGUGAGACAGGUCGGUCUCUGCCUGAUGGAAGCGUGGAUGUCUGAGGGGAAGUUGCUCCGAGUACGAGAGGAACAGAGCAGCGUGGCCACUGGUUUACCGGUUGUCUGAUAAGGCAGGCCGGGCAGCUAAGCCAUUUGGGCUAAGUGCUGAAAGCAUCUAAGCACGAAUCCCAUCCCGAGAAAAGACAUCCUUUCGUAAGAUGAAGGUCGGCAGCAGAAGACUGCGUUGAUAGGAAGGUGGUGUAGAUCACAAGCUUCGGCGAGUGGUGAGCCAGCCUUUACUAACAGACC